ACCUCGAUGUCGGCUCUUCUCCACCGGGGGCUGUAGUAUGUUCCAAGGGUUGGGUUGUUCGCCUAUUGAAGCGGUACGUGAGCUGGGUUCAGAACGUCGUGAGACAGUUC
This 110-nucleotide non-coding RNA is filed under the name Helianthus annuus (common sunflower). RNAcentral describes it as "Bacterial large subunit ribosomal RNA". It matches the Rfam family "Bacterial large subunit ribosomal RNA", at positions 2523 to 2632 of the family's 2925-position model. The record is from Rfam by way of RNAcentral. Lineage: Eukaryota; Viridiplantae; Streptophyta; Magnoliopsida; Asterales; Asteraceae.